Molecule: long non-coding RNA, 1533 nt
Filed under: Triticum aestivum (bread wheat)
Lineage: Eukaryota; Viridiplantae; Streptophyta; Magnoliopsida; Poales; Poaceae
Description: long non-coding RNA (TAES_LNC009772)
Source: RNAcentral
UGCACUGAAAUCGUGGACGCUGCCAAAAAAUGACACCUGCUUGUGUCGAGAUAAUCUAUCAUCUUUCAAAAAGAUAUUGUAUCAUGUUAACUCUUAAAUCCACUCACAACCAUAAGGUGCAGUAAUCUAAAGCCGAACAAUGCGUUAAAUCAGCUUUUCUAACAAAGCUCUAUAACAGAACAAAUUAUGCACAACAACAAUGUACAAAAGAAAGAGAAAACUCUAAACUUCUCUUUGGCAAAUCGUUGCUCGAUUGUAGGUUGCCUUUCACUUAAAGUUACCAAAGAAAUGUAAAAGAAUCAACAACAAGUUGCAACAUAAAUGAUAGAGCAACAAACUGGAAUUCUGUUGUAGAGCUCCGUAUCUGAAAAUGGGAAGCGAGGUGAUUCUGGAAAAAAUGGGAAGGGAGGCCCAAUCAGUUUACUGAAAAUCAAGAAAUUGGAAUUCUUUAUUACAAAUGCACUUCUGAAGAAUGAAUUGUACGACCAGUUUCGCAAAGGAGCUCAUUUUGCCUAAUAUAAAAGUUAAACACCGGUAUCUAUAAAGUUUGUAGAAACUAUGCUCCAUCCGAAUUAGGAUUUUCAAUCAUGAAUUUCGUGAGCACAUAGUAACCAUGCACAUGCAACGCACGUGUAACCAUAUGACCGAGGAAUGCAUUUUUUUCCAGCAUCUUUACUCCAUGUUUUAUUCUAGUGCGUUAACUGAUCAUGAGCUCUUAUUGUAGCGCGCCAACUGAUCCUCUUACACAUGGAAUUUAAUCACAACAACAUUAAUUUCAUACAAAUGUCGUCAGAUAUUACUGUAUUAAGAACUGUAGAAAUAUAUAAUUUUUAGCCAUCAGGAUCAGAAACUAUACCUGGAAUGCAGAAUUGUUAGGUGACGCCUCCAUAGCCAAAUCAUAGUCCCACACUCUCGCUACUUCCCAUAAGAUCAUAGUUCAGAAAGAAAAAAUGUUCAGUCCGUUAAAUGCGGCCUCAAACCUUACAGACAAAUCUGUUAACAAUCAACUAAAUUCAUGUUAACAAAAGAAAAAGUCUUACAUCUCUAUCAACAGAACUUGGGAGCAAGCAUGAAUCUUUGGCCACUAAUAAAUAUGAACUUAAAAGAUAGUAAAUCAGUACAGGGGAGAUGUAACCUUGAAGAAGAUGCUGAAUCAGCUGUGAAACAACCCUCUUGUAUCCUCUGUAUAACCCAAAAGUUCUGUAAUAGUCACAUAGAACAAAUAUCAAACAUUUGGUGUGCACUAACAAAUAUAGUUAACCAUCAGUUUCUGUACGUUCAUAAGGAUAUAAGUUCAAUCAGUCUGUUACUUCUGAUCUUAUGAGCUGAAGAGUGGCGCACAGAGCUGAAAAGACCAAUUCCGUCAGCAACAGAGCCACUGAAUAGGCAUCCGACGAACGCUCCCCCCAAGCAUAUGCUCACCACGAAAAUCGGCAGCAAAACGAACGGAAUGCGCCCAAAGGGGAUCGACGGGGCUGUCGCACGGACCUGGGUCAGCAGAGGAGAACGGUAGGCGGCCACGGUGCCCCACGC